RNAcentral lists this ribosomal RNA (562 nucleotides) under Rhodotorula mucilaginosa. Its description in RNAcentral is "eukaryotic LSU rRNA". It matches the Rfam family "Eukaryotic large subunit ribosomal RNA", at positions 90 to 668 of the family's 3401-position model. The record is from RNAcentral. Lineage: Eukaryota; Fungi; Basidiomycota; Microbotryomycetes; Sporidiobolales; Sporidiobolaceae.
AGAGCGAAGCGGGAAGAGCUCAAAUUUAUAAUCUGGCACCUUCGGUGUCCGAGUUGUAAUCUCUAGAAAUGUUUUCCGCGUUGGACCGCACACAAGUCUGUUGGAAUACAGCGGCAUAGUGGUGAGACCCCCGUAUAUGGUGCGGACGCCCAGCGCUUUGUGAUACAUUUUCGAAGAGUCGAGUUGUUUGGGAAUGCAGCUCAAAUUGGGUGGUAAAUUCCAUCUAAAGCUAAAUAUUGGCGAGAGACCGAUAGCGAACAAGUACCGUGAGGGAAAGAUGAAAAGCACUUUGGAAAGAGAGUUAACAGUACGUGAAAUUGUUGGAAGGGAAACGCUUGAAGUCAGACUUGCUUGCCGAGCAAUCGGUUUGCAGGCCAGCAUCAGUUUUCCGGGAUGGAUAAUGGUAGAGAGAAGGUAGCAGUUUCGGCUGUGUUAUAGCUCUCUGCUGGAUACAUCUUGGGGGACUGAGGAACGCAGUGUGCCUUUGGCGGGGGUUUCGACCUCUUCACACUUAGGAUGCUGGUGGAAUGGCUUUAAACGACCCGUCUUGAACCACGGACCA